Molecule: ribosomal RNA, 469 nt
Filed under: uncultured bacterium
Lineage: Bacteria
Description: partial 16S ribosomal RNA
Rfam family: Bacterial small subunit ribosomal RNA
Source: RNAcentral
AACGAACGUUGGCGGCGUGGAUUAGGCAUGCAAGUCGAACGCGAAUCCCUGGGCAACUGGGGAGGAGAGUGGCGAAAGGGGCAGUAAGGCGUGGGUAACCUACCCUCCGGGCCGGGAUAGCUUCGGGAAACUGAAGGUAAUACCGGGCGACGCAGCGAGAUCGCAUGGUCUUGCUGCCAAAGGUCCGCCGCCGGGGGAGGGGCUCACGUGGUAUUAGCUAGACGGCGGGGUAACGGCCCACCGUGGCAAAGAUGCCUAGCAGGUGUGAGAGCACGACCUGCGCCACUGGAACUGAGACACUGGCCAGACACCUACGGGUGGCUGCAGUCGAGGAUCUUCGGCAAUGGGCGCAAGCCUGACCGAGCGACGCCGCGUGUGCGAUGAAGGCCUUCGGGUUGUAAAGCACUGUCGAGGGGGAGGAAGCCGCAAGGUUGACCUAUCCCUGGAGGAAGCACGGGCUAAGUUCGUG